This 890-nucleotide long non-coding RNA is filed under the name Heterocephalus glaber (naked mole-rat). RNAcentral describes it as "lncRNA (ENSHGLG00100042634.1)". Lineage: Eukaryota; Metazoa; Chordata; Mammalia; Rodentia; Bathyergidae. The record is from RNAcentral.
UGACCACAGUCUGUCCUGUCCCCCCCCACCCCUGUCUUUGUGUAGGUCUCUGCUCCCUGUUGGGCUGUGAGUUCCCUAAAGGAAAUCACCUUUGGGUUCACAGAACCUGGCCCAGGCCUGGACCAUCAUUUCAGAUGGGAAGGAAUUCCACACAUCUGUAGAAGGAACUGUUCCUGCUCCUCACUCCGGCCCAGGGCCUGUGGACGCAACCCUGCGCGGUGUGCACAGUGGAGCGCCUCCAGGACCCUGCUCAUCUAUGUCCGGCAGGCGGUGAGGGGUGAGUCUGCGGGGCUGGGCCUGACCUGCUGCCUGCUCUGCUCAGGAGCCCCAGCUGUGCAGCCUGCGCCCUCCUGGAGAAGGGAGACCGGAAGUGGGGCUGUUCACCACGCCUGCCUGCCUGCCUGCCGAGUUCAGGGCCCAGCCGGCCAUGGAGUUUACAGCACGACUCGGUCCUUUGCUGCACCCCGAUCCUUGGCUCCUCUUUGGGGCUCUGGCAUCGCAGAAGGACCCAAAGGCAGGGACACCCGGGUCAGGAUUGAGGCUUCCGCCUCCAGACCACUUUGAAGUAUGACUCUGCCGCUGACUGGAUUUAUGUCCUGAACCUGUCUGGGGACACAGUAGUGCCUAAAUUAAUGCGAUCACUGGGAAACCGAGUAAAGUCACCAUGUGUGCAAUACAAAACAGUACCUGCACUGUGCUCAGCUGGGGUGGAAGCAGUCGGCAUUGGCAGAGGAGCCAGGAGAGCCUGGACCCUGGUGCCCAGGAUGGGUGCAUGGAGGUGGGGUGCAGGGAGUGCUCCCCACUGUCACAGCCAGGAGUGCGAGCAGCUCCCCGCAUGCAUGGCCCCAAGGGCGCUGGGGACACCACCGUGCUGUCUUCAGAGAAACCAC